UACGUAGGGGGCAAGCGUUGUCCGGAUUUAUUGGGCGUAAAGAGCGUGUAGGCGGCCAGGUAGGUCAGCUGUGAAAACUCGAGGCUCAACCUCGAGACGCCGGUUGAAACCAUCUGGCUAGGGUCCUGAAGAGGAGAGUGGAAUUCCUGGUGUAGCGGUGAAAUGCGCAGAUAUCAGGAAGAACACCCGUGGCUAAGGCGGCUCUCUAGUACGGUACUGACGCUGAGACGCGAAAGCGUGGGGAGCGAACAGG
This 253-nucleotide ribosomal RNA is filed under the name uncultured bacterium. RNAcentral describes it as "partial 16S ribosomal RNA". It matches the Rfam family "Bacterial small subunit ribosomal RNA", at positions 524 to 776 of the family's 1533-position model. The record is from RNAcentral.